RNAcentral lists this long non-coding RNA (2019 nucleotides) under Homo sapiens (human). RNAcentral's name for it is "HSALNT0337211". The record is from RNAcentral. Lineage: Eukaryota; Metazoa; Chordata; Mammalia; Primates; Hominidae.
UGCCUGUGUUGUACUCAUCUCUUUAUCAUAAGUGUCCUAAAUAAUGAAAGAACAAUUCUUCAAGAGAAAAGGAGUGGUCAGCCCCUUUACCCUCCUGUCAAGGAAAAUUAAGCCUGAAGGUCAUACUAUUGGAUGCUUAAAGGCCCUGCCGAUUCAUCACAAGACAGUUUCCACAAACUGAUGGGAGAGAGACACUUGCAAGGCUUAGAGAACAACACUGUCAGUCUGGAGUAAGUGACAAAAAUAAGAAAGGGAAGUCUAUCCUGAUGCCCAGCCAGGGAAAAAUGGGAAGAAAGAGAAGAGAAGAGAAGAGACAGAGAGGUUAUCGCAGGAGUGGGACUGGUGACUAAAGAGGAAAUGAGACCUAAGCUAGCCUCCUUGCCAUGUGAUACUCUGCACCACCUUGAGACUCUGCAGAGAGUACCCACCAACAAGGAAGCUCUCACCAGAUGCGCCCCCUUGACCUUGGACUUCUCCACCUCCAGAACAGUACAAAAUAAAUUUCAUUUCUCAUAAAUUACUCAGUUUCAGAAAUCCUGUUUAAGCAACAGAAAAUGGACUAAGCUACUGCCCUGCUGAUCAGCCAGCCACCUGUACAUGUGCACACCCAGAUGACAUAUGCAAGAAUGUUCAGACCAUGGUAGAUGUUUCCAAAGAUGGCCCCCAUCAAGUCCUUACCCCUGUGCAUGCAUAUGCCCCUUCUCCCAUUCAGUUACCCCCCUUCCCUUGAGACUGAGUUGGUGCUGUAACUGCUUUUACCAAUAGGAUGCAGACAAAAAUAAUGUUCUGAGAAUUUCGAGAUCAAAACCUAACAGACUGAUAGCUUCCAUGUCCUUCUUCUUGGAACAUUCACUCAUAGAAUGCUCCCUCUCAGAACACAGAUACCAUGAGAGAAGUCCAACCGGGUCAUGUGGAGAGGCCACAUGGAAAAGAACUGAGGCCCAACAGCCCACACCACCUUCCAGUCAUGGGAAUGAACCUUAUUGGAUGUUCCAGCUUUGUCAAACCCCCAGAUGGCUUCAGACCCAACCAAGUUUAUGUGAAACAGAAGAGUCACACAGCUGAACCCACUCAACCCACUAAAUUGUGAGAGAUAAUAACAGGUUGUUGUUUGAAGCCACUACACUUUUUUGUGGUUAUGCCGCAACAGAAAAAUGAAACGCAGACCUCUCAAAAUCACAAGUCCACACUGUGAAUAUAUAAAUUUUAGCAAAGCACCCACUAUAGGCCUGCUUCUUUAAUAUAUAUUUUCUCAGUUAAUGCUCAAAACUAUGCUAAGACAUCAGCUUUCUCAUGGCAGAGAGAUUAUGUAAGAGGCAGAACUGAAACUCAAGGCACACUUCCUGGCCCUAAUUGAUGUGUUUGUCUCACUGCAUCUCAGAAGCUGGGACAAGUGACUCUGCGGGGUCAAUUCUCAGCUCUCUGAACAUGUAUCUGCUUUGGGGAUCAGUAUUACCAUGUGUGUUUUCAGGAUCAUGCUCUUCUAUCAUGUAGCCACCAAUGUGCGGCAAUGGAGAACUUUUUAUACAGUAUCCUAACAAAAAUUAGGAAGUCAUCAUUAGAUUCCCCCAAUCAAAUGUAUAAGACAGUACAGAAACAUAAUAAAAGCACAUCUAAAAGCCUCUUGGUAGAUUCAUGCAUCAGAUAAGAUGAUGGGUUAUACAAACUCUGAAGUCCUUUUUCUUCCAGCAAUCUAUGACCUGCCAAGCGCUGUGCAUAAUUCCUUACGUGCAUGAUCUCAUUUAACUUUCUCAAUAAGCCUAUACUUAUAAAGCAGAAACUGUUUUCUUUAGAGGUCUUUGGGGUCUUACUCUGUUACCCUGCUUGGUAUGCAGUGUGCAAACACAGCUCACUUUAACCUCAAACUCCUACACUCAGGACAUCCUCCCACCUCCACCUCCUGAGUAACUGGAACUACAGGCAAACACCACCGUGAGCAGCUAAUUUAACUUAUUUAUGUAUUUAUUUUUUAUUUGUUUAUUUUUAUCUUUUUUUAUUUUUUUAUUUUUUUGAGACAGA